Molecule: ribosomal RNA, 305 nt
Filed under: uncultured bacterium
Lineage: Bacteria
Description: bacterial SSU rRNA
Rfam family: Bacterial small subunit ribosomal RNA
Source: RNAcentral
CAGCCUACGGGGGGCAGCAGUGGGGAAUAUUGCGCAAUGGGGGAAACCCUGACGCAGCAACGCCGCGUGAGUGAGGAAGUAUCCCGGUAUGUAAAGCUCUAUCAGCGGGGAAGAAAGAGGACGGUACCUGACUAAGAAGCCCCGGCUAACUACGUGCCAGCAGCCGCGGUAAUACGUAGGGGGCAAGCGUUAUCCGGAUUUACUGGGUGUAAAGGGAGCGUAGACGGCUGUGCAAGUCUGAAGUGAAAGCCCGUGGCUCAACCGCGGAACUGCUUUGGAAACUGUAUAGCUUGAGUACUGGAGAG